AACAAACGCUGGCGGCGUGCCUAACACAUGCAAGUCGCACGAGAAAGUCGGCUUCGGCCGAUGAGUACAGUGGCGCACGGGUGAGUAACGCGUGGGUAAUCUGCCCCUCGGUCAGGAAUAACCCGCCGAAAGGCGGGCUAAUACCCGAUAACACUGACGCUCUGCGGAGUGUCUUUCAAAGAAGGCCUCUGUUUACAAGCUUUCGCCGGAGGAUGAGCCCGCGUACCAUUAGCUAGUUGGCAGGGUAAUGGCCUACCAAGGCGACGAUGGGGUAGCCGGCCUGAGAGGGUGGUCGGCCACACUGGAACUGAGACACGGUCCAGACUCCUACGGGUGGCUG
RNAcentral lists this ribosomal RNA (340 nucleotides) under uncultured bacterium. RNAcentral's name for it is "bacterial SSU rRNA". It matches the Rfam family "Bacterial small subunit ribosomal RNA", at positions 29 to 351 of the family's 1533-position model. The record is from RNAcentral.